This 253-nucleotide ribosomal RNA is filed under the name uncultured bacterium. Its description in RNAcentral is "partial 16S ribosomal RNA". It matches the Rfam family "Bacterial small subunit ribosomal RNA", at positions 524 to 776 of the family's 1533-position model. The record is from RNAcentral.
UACAGAGGUGGCAAGCGUUGUUCGGAAUUACUGGGCGUAAAGGGCGCGUAGGUGGCCUUCUUAGUCAGACGUGAAAUCCCCGGGCUUAACUCGGGAACUGCGUCUGAUACUGGAAGGCUGGAGUUCGGGAGAGGAAUGUGGAAUUCCAGGUGUAGCGGUGAAAUGCGUAGAUAUCUGGAGGAACACCGGUGGCGAAGGCGGCAUCCUGGACCAAUUCUGACGCUGAGGAGCGAAAGCCAGGGGAGCAAACGGG